RNAcentral lists this long non-coding RNA (1040 nucleotides) under Scleropages formosus (Asian bonytongue). RNAcentral describes it as "lncRNA (ENSSFOG00015026141.1)". The record is from RNAcentral. Lineage: Eukaryota; Metazoa; Chordata; Actinopteri; Osteoglossiformes; Osteoglossidae.
AUUAGUGUUCUGGAAAAUAUGAACAUAAUUCAUUAUUAUUAUUAACCUGUGUAAUUACACCAUCAUAAAUAAGGACUGGCUGAAUUUUCCGUUCUCAUAAAUUUAAUUGUUCUCGUCUCUCUCUCUCUGCGUACAUCACGAAGCUGAGUGCGCUGUAUUUUUAAUAUUACGGCAUGGCAACGGGUUCCAUCCCGAAAUUAAAGAAUAAAACGGCGAAAAACGUUACAGUCAGGAGGCUAAUCGGUGAUCCCCGCUAAGCUGCGUUCAAUUGCACUUAACAGGCCUCCGCUUCGCACCGACGGGAUGCGCCGAGAACCUUUAAGUCGGCGGCUAAUUCUUGUUUUGAGUUCUCGCGCCCGAAACUUGCCGCAAUGCAACUUAAUUCCAGACAAUCUCCCGCCGAGAGGCCAAGUCAGAAUCAAGCGUGAGCCCAGACACGGAGCACGGCGAGUCCUUGGUACCCGUCCCAGUCCCCCUCUCCCCUUUGUGAGCAGGCGAGCCGUCCCACCCCCCGCCUCCGCAAGCGUGAGCCAAGGAGCGAGCGACCAUGCGACCAUGACCAGGACGAAUGGGUUUGCAGUGGAGAGAAGCGACGAGGCGGGGAGCUGAGUCACUGCACCAGCUGACCGCGGUAUGCCAGACACCCCGUGUAGCCCAUCACUCCUGCGGCAUGAGAGACUCUGCGGAAUGGAUGGGACUCCUUCGUAGAUCCAUGACGGGACUCUGUGGACGUAACCCAUCACCCCCAAGGGAUGCGGAGCGGAGAACAGCCCACCCCCCUGGGGAGACACGAGCCUUUGCUCCACUGUGUUUUCUCAGCAAACUGACCCUGGAUCAGGGCGGCUCUGGGGAAACCUAUCGGCAGACAGUGGGCACCGUGGACGGCCGGGGCCUUUCAUCGCUGUAUACAGAGUAAUUACAUCUCCGAGCCGAGUCCGGGGAGUCUUCAAGGAAAGGCUCCCAGACCCUUAUGGGGUCGCGGCCCACGGGGGUGAGAUCAACCCAUUAAAAUAUAAUCAUACAGCACGGUUUAUUUAAAG